Molecule: transfer RNA, 68 nt
Filed under: Marmota monax (woodchuck)
Lineage: Eukaryota; Metazoa; Chordata; Mammalia; Rodentia; Sciuridae
Description: tRNA.Ala
Source: RNAcentral
GUUGUAGUUCAGUGGUAGAGUGCUUGCCUUGCAUGUGUGAGGCACUGGGUUCAAACCUCAGCACCACA